Molecule: ribosomal RNA, 460 nt
Filed under: uncultured bacterium
Lineage: Bacteria
Description: partial 16S ribosomal RNA
Rfam family: Bacterial small subunit ribosomal RNA
Source: RNAcentral
CCUACGGGGCGCAGCAGUGAGGAAUAUUGGUCAAUGGACGGAAGUCUGAACCAGCCAUGCCGCGUGCAGGAAGACGGCUCUAUGAGUUGUAAACUGCUUUUGUACAAGGGUAAACCUGAAUACGUGUAUUCAGCUGAAAGUACUGUACGAAUAAGGAUCGGCUAACUCCGUGCCAGCAGCCGCGGUAAUACGGAGGAUCCAAGCGUUAUCCGGAUUUAUUGGGUUUAAAGGGUGCGUAGGCGGAUUGAUAAGUUAGAGGUGAAAUGUCCGAGCUUAACUCGGGAACUGCCUCUAAUACUGUUGGUCUAGAGAGUAGAUGCGGUAGGCGGAAUGUAUGGUGUAGCGGUGAAAUGCUUAGAGAUCAUACAGAACACCGAUUGCGAAGGCAGCUUACCAAUCUAUAUCUGACGUUGAGGCACGAAAGCGUGGGGAGCAAACAGGAUUAGAUACCCGGGUAGUC